This 495-nucleotide ribosomal RNA is filed under the name uncultured bacterium. RNAcentral describes it as "partial 16S ribosomal RNA". It matches the Rfam family "Bacterial small subunit ribosomal RNA", at positions 28 to 507 of the family's 1533-position model. The record is from RNAcentral.
GACGAACGCUGGCGGCGUGCCUAAUACAUGCAAGUAGAACGCUGAAGGAGGAGCUUGCUUCUCCGGAUGAGUUGCGAACGGGUGAGUAACGCGUAGGUAACCUGCCUGGUAGCGGGGGAUAACUAUUGGAAACGAUAGCUAAUACCGCAUAACAGUAGAUAUCGCAUGAUAUCUGCUUGAAAGGUGCAAUUGCAUCACUACCAGAUGGACCUGCGUUGUAUUAGCUAGUUGGUGAGGUAACGGCUCACCAAGGCGACGAUACAUAGCCGACCUGAGAGGGUGAUCGGCCACACUGGGACGGAGACACGGCCCAGACUCCUACGGGAGGCAGCAGUAGGGAAUCUUCGGCAAGGGACGGAAGUCUGACCGAGCAACGCCGCGUGAGUGAAGAAGGUUUUCGGAUCGUAAAGCUCUGUUGUAAGAGAAGAACGAGUGUGAGAGUGGAAAGUUCACACUGUGACGGUAUCUUACCAGAAAGGGACGGCUAACUACGUG